RNAcentral lists this ribosomal RNA (218 nucleotides) under uncultured prokaryote. RNAcentral's name for it is "partial 16S ribosomal RNA". It matches the Rfam family "Bacterial small subunit ribosomal RNA", at positions 565 to 774 of the family's 1533-position model. The record is from RNAcentral.
CCCUCUGGGGUGCAGCAGGCGGAUCAAUCAGUCAGGGGUGAAAAAUUUCAGCUUCACUGGAAUCGUGCCUUUGAUACUGUUGGACUAGAGUAUAAUUGACGUGACUGGAAUGUGAUGUGUAGCGGUGAAAUGCUUAGAUAUGUCACAGAACGCCAAUCGUGAAGACAGGUCACGAAAUUAUUACUGACGCUCAUGCACGAAAGCGUGGGGAUCAAACA